AUGCAAGUCGAACGCAGUAGCAAUACUGAGUGGCAAACGGGUGAGUAUAAUGUGGGAAUCUGCCUUUUGGUUUGGAAUAACACGGGGAAACUUGUGCUAAUACUGAAUAAGCCCUUACGGGGAAAGUUUUAACGCCGAAAGAUGAGCCUGCACUUGAUUAGCUAGUUGGUAAGGUAAAAGCUUACCAAGGCGACGAUCAAUAGCUGUUCUUAGAGGAAGACCAGCCACAUUGGGACUGAGACACGGCCCAGACUCCUACGGGAGGCAGCAGUGGGGAAUCUUGCACAAUGGGGGAAACCCUGAUGCAGCGAUGCCGCGUGAGUGAAGAAGGCCCUUGGGUUGUAAAACUCUUUCGUCGGGGAAGAAAAUGACUGUACCCGAAUAAGAAGGUCCGGCUAACUUCGUGCCAGCAGCCGCGGUAAUACGAAGGGACCUAGCGUAGUUCGGAAUUACUGGGCUUAAAGAGCUCGUAGGUGGUUAAAAAAGUUGAUGGUGAAAUCCCAAGGCUCAACCUUGGAACUGCCAUCAAAACUUUUUAGCUAGAGUGUGAUAGAGGUAAGUGGAAUUUCUAGUGUAGAGGUGAAAUUCGUAGAUAUUAGAAAGAACACCAAAUGCGAAGGCAACUUACUGGGUCACUACUGACACUGAGGAGCGAAAGCAUGGGUAGCGAAGAGGAUUAGAUACCCUCGUAGUCCAUGCCCUAAACGAUGUGUGCUAGACGUUGG
RNAcentral lists this ribosomal RNA (725 nucleotides) under uncultured marine bacterium. RNAcentral's name for it is "bacterial SSU rRNA". It matches the Rfam family "Bacterial small subunit ribosomal RNA", at positions 55 to 826 of the family's 1533-position model. The record is from RNAcentral.